AGAGUUUGAUCCUGGCUCAGGAUGAACGCUAGCGGCAGGCCUAAUACAUGCAAGUCGAGGGGUAGAGUAGGCUUGCUUACUUGAGACCGGCGCACGGGUGCGUAACGCGUAUGCAACCUACCUUUAUCUGGGGGAUAGCCCGGAGAAAUCCGGAUUAAUACCGCAUAAAAUCACAGAAUGGCAUUAUUCAAUGAUCAAACAUUAAUGGGAUAGAGAUGGGCAUGCGUGUCAUUAGCUAGUUGGCGGGGUAACGGCCCACCAAGGCGACGAUGACUAGGGGAUCUGAGAGGAUGACCCCCCACACUGGUACUGAGACACGGACCAGACUCCUACGGGAGGCAGCAGUAAGGAAUAUUGGUCAAUGGAGGCAACUCUGAACCAGCCAUGCCGCGUGCAGGAAGACUGCCCUAUGGGUUGUAAACUGCUUUUAUCCGGGAAUAAACCACAAUACGUGUAUUGUGCUGAAUGUACCGGAAGAAUAAGGAUCGGGUAACUCCGUGCCAGUGGUCGCGGAAAUACGGAGGAUCCAAGCGUUAUGCGGAUUUAUUGAAUUUAAAG
Molecule: ribosomal RNA, 558 nt
Filed under: uncultured freshwater bacterium
Lineage: Bacteria
Description: bacterial SSU rRNA
Rfam family: Bacterial small subunit ribosomal RNA
Source: RNAcentral